UCUGAGAGGAUGAUCAGCCACACUGGAACUGAGACACGGUCCAGACUCCUACGGGAGGCAGCAGUGGGGAAUAUUGCACAAUGGGCGCAAGCCUGAUGCAGCCAUGCCGCGUGUGUGAAGAAGGCCUUCGGGUUGUAAAGCACUUUCAGUCGUGAGGAAGGCGGCGUCGUUAAUAGCGGCGUUGUUUGACGUUAGCGACAGAAGAAGCACCGGCUAACUCCGUGCCAGCAGCCGCGGUAAUACGGAGGGUGCGAGCGUUAAUCGGAAUUACUGGGCGUAAAGCGCAUGCAGGUGGUUUGUUAAGUCAGAUGUGAAAGCCCGGGGCUCAACCUCGGAAUAGCAUUUGAAACUGGCAGACUAGAGUACUGUAGAGGGGGGUAGAAUUUCAGGUGUAGCGGUGAAAUGCGUAGAGAUCUGAAGGAAUACCGGUGGCGAAGGCGGCCCCCUGGACAGAUACUGACACUCAGAUGCGAAAGCGUG
RNAcentral lists this ribosomal RNA (480 nucleotides) under Vibrio parahaemolyticus. Its description in RNAcentral is "bacterial SSU rRNA". It matches the Rfam family "Bacterial small subunit ribosomal RNA", at positions 291 to 763 of the family's 1533-position model. The record is from RNAcentral. RNAcentral also lists the same sequence under 1 other name. Lineage: Bacteria; Pseudomonadati; Pseudomonadota; Gammaproteobacteria; Vibrionales; Vibrionaceae.